UACAGAGGGGGCGAGCGUUGUUCGGAAUUACUGGGCGUAAAGGGCUCGUAGGCGGCCAACUAAGUCGGAUGUGAAAUCCCCAAGCUUAACUUGGGAACUGCAUCCGAUACUGGAUGGCUUGAAUCCGGGAGAGGGAUGCAGAAUUCCAGGUGUAGCGGUGAAAUGCGUAGAUAUCUGGAGGAAUACCGGUGGCGAAGGCGGCAUCCUGGACCGGCAUUGACGCUGAGGAGCGAAAGCUAGGGGAGCAAACGGG
Molecule: ribosomal RNA, 253 nt
Filed under: uncultured bacterium
Lineage: Bacteria
Description: partial 16S ribosomal RNA
Rfam family: Bacterial small subunit ribosomal RNA
Source: RNAcentral